AGCAGCCGCGGUGAUUCCAGCUCCAAUAGCGUAUAUUAAAGUUGCUGCAGUUAAAAGCUCGUAGUUGAAUUUCGGGACUAAUAUGUCGGUCGUGCCUCGGUACGUACUGGUUUUAUUGGUUUCUCCUUUCUGAAGAACCAUGAUGUCAUUUAUUUGGUGUCGUGGGGAAUCAGGACUGUUACUUUGAAAAAUUAGAGUGUUUAAAGCAGGCUCACGCUUGAAUACAUUAGCAUGGAAUAAUGAAAUAGGACGUUUGAUUCUAUUUUGUUGGUUUCUAGGAUCGACGUAAUGAUUAAUAGGGAUAGUUGGGGGCAUUAGUAUUCAAUUGUCAGAGGUGAAAUUCUUGGAUUUAUUGAAGACUAACUACUGCGAAAGCAUUUGCCAAGGAUGUUUUCAUUAAUCAAGAACGAAGUUA
RNAcentral lists this ribosomal RNA (415 nucleotides) under uncultured Glomeromycotina. RNAcentral's name for it is "SSU rRNA". It matches the Rfam family "Eukaryotic small subunit ribosomal RNA", at positions 569 to 992 of the family's 1831-position model. The record is from RNAcentral. Lineage: Eukaryota; Fungi; Glomeromycota.